CCUACGGGGGGCAGCAGUGGGGAAUAUUGGACAAUGGGGGGAACCCUGAUCCAGCCAUGCCGCGUGUGUGAAGAAGGCCCUCGGGUUGUAAAGCACUUUCAGUGAGGAAUAACGCCUGGUGGUUAAUACCCAUCAGGAAAGACAUCACUCACAGAAGAAGCACCGGCUAACUCCGUGCCAGCAGCCGCGGUAAUACGGAGGGUGCGAGCGUUAAUCGGAAUUACUGGGCGUAAAGCGCGCGUAGGUGGCUUGAUAAGCCGGUUGUGAAAGCCCCGGGCUCAACCUGGGAACGGCAUCCGGAACUGUCAAGCUAGAGUGCAGGAGAGGAAGGUAGAAUUCCCGGUGUAGCGGUGAAAUGCGUAGAGAUCGGGAGGAAUACCAGUGGCGAAGGCGGCCUUCUGGACUGACACUGACACUGAGGUGCGAAAGCGUGGGUAGCAAACAGGAUUAGAUACCCUUGUAGUC
This 465-nucleotide ribosomal RNA is filed under the name Vreelandella stevensii. Its description in RNAcentral is "partial 16S ribosomal RNA". It matches the Rfam family "Bacterial small subunit ribosomal RNA", at positions 338 to 795 of the family's 1533-position model. Lineage: Bacteria; Pseudomonadati; Pseudomonadota; Gammaproteobacteria; Oceanospirillales; Halomonadaceae. The record is from RNAcentral.